CUACGGGAGGCAGCAGUGGGGAAUUUUCCGCAAUGGGCGAAAGCCUGACGGAGCAAUCUCGCGUGAGGGAUGACGGCCUAUGGCUUGUAAACCUCUUUUUUCAGGGAGUAAUAAAUGACGUGUACCUGAAGAAUAAGCAUCGGCUAACUCCGUGCCAGCAGCCGCGGUAA
This 170-nucleotide ribosomal RNA is filed under the name uncultured soil bacterium. RNAcentral's name for it is "partial 16S ribosomal RNA". It matches the Rfam family "Bacterial small subunit ribosomal RNA", at positions 339 to 523 of the family's 1533-position model. The record is from RNAcentral.